GAGAGCGUCUGUGAGCCAAGUUCACCAGUGUUAGGUUUUAAGAUUGUAUUAUUGUUGAAGAUUGUGGUGGGAGAGAAAUUGUAAGGAAUAAUUUAUUAAAAAGGCCUCAAGGUGUUGGGAGACUUGCUAUUAUUGUUGUAUUUAUGUGCCACGUGGUACACCCCUAUUGGAGCUCAAUAGGUGGCUUGUAAGGGCUCGGGCUAAUCUACCUUUGGCCGGGUAAUUUAGCACCGAGUGAGGGCUACGGCUCAAGGUUAAUAGAGGGAUAUAAGGAUGGUUAUUUGUGUGUAUUGUAAUAUUUCUUAUAUUUGUUGGAAUUAUAUUAUUUUUAAUUCUCACUUAGUAAACACACACUUAACUGUUUGUAUACACUAUCAUAAAAUGGCUUUGGUUAUUGGGACUUUUGAGUCUCAUUAUGUGGUUAACAAUUUUCGGGAGAAGAGCCACGAGUGACACGUGGAGGAGUCCCAGAGACUUAGUGGUAUAGAUCCACUGUCUCUUUUGAGUAUUUAAUUUAUGAUUUAUAAUGUGUUAUAUUGUCAAUAUUAGGGCUUUUUGUUUAUUGUCAAUUAUAUGAAUAUAUAAAUGUAAUCAUGCCUUUCAAACUAUUUCUAUUUUUGGUACAAUUUGGAUGACUGUAAUUUUAAUAUUAGGUUUACUUUGGAUUGAUUAAAAUGGCAUGAUUAUAAGGUCAACUAAUUGGCUUGUGUUGAAAAUUGACUAAAUUGCUUAUUUUACUUGUUGGGAGUAUAAGGAUGGACAAAUGUGAUUUAGUUUACUUGUUGGGAGUAUAAGGAUGGACAAAUGUGAUUUAGCCUAAUGGCAUGUGGGAGGUAAAAAUUUAUCUGAAAUGUUAUAGUGUGUGAGUUGAAGCCAAUUAUAAAAUAUUUUAUAUUAAAAUUAUUGAUAUAAAAAUGUGUUGGGUGGCUGUAACUCAACUAUGAUUGAGUUAAAUUAUUUUAAAAAAAAAUUUUGAUGUGUUACAUGAAACUCAUUUGGUAUGACUCAAGUUUUUUUUAAUUAGAAUUGAGGUAUAAAAAUAUCUUUGAUUUGACUUAGAAUAUUGUAUAAUUUUUAAUUUUAAUUUGUAUAUGUAUUUAUAAUAUGAAAAGACUAUCGCUAAUAAAUUUAAAAAUAACAACAUUGUGAAUGAUAGUGAAAAGGGGGAGGGCAAUUCCACUGUGAUAGAUAAUGAGAAUCAGAUUUGAGAUAUUUUAGUUGAAUUAAAUUCCAUGAGAAAUUUAAAUUGAUGCAUACUAAACUACUCAAAGCUUGAUUCAAAUUUCAUUUUCAUUUUUUUAGAGCCGAACUUCAAUAUAUCAAUCAGGUUUUUAGAGUGUUUUUAAAUUUUAUUGAGGGUUUGUAUAAUAUCUUGAAUUUUUAAGACAAAAAUUUCCUAGCUUUCAAGGUAACCAUAUAAAUAAGAAAUCUCAUCAUAUGUUAUUAAAAGCCAUCGUAUCAUUAUAUAAUCAAAGAAGCUAACUGAUAUGUAGAUUUAUGGGUGAAAGUUACCCAUGACAUGGUUCCCUCUUCAUAGUACAAGGAUCUUGUGUAGCUUGAUUUAACCAGGGACUUGUUAUUAUCCAAGGCUCUACUUUUCCUUGUAUUAAAAAUAAAAAACGUUUUUUUCCCCCUUUUGAUGAAUUUUUUCAAGUGUGGGUGUUCUUCCUUUGCAAGUUUAAAUUAACAAAUUAAAAUACCACUUGUAUCACUACACAAAUAAAAUAAAACAUCAGAGGUCAAUUUGUAAUGUAUUUUGUAUUGUGGCAGUAGAUAGGUCAUUAGUACUGCCUCGAUAAUAGGAUUCACUGUUUUCUCUUGUAAUAUAUUUUAUUUUCCCCCUAACUCAAAAUACUUAAGCAGUGUGAUUCGCAAAAGGCUCUGCUUUG
Long non-coding RNA from Prosopis cineraria, 1889 nucleotides. RefSeq lists it as uncharacterized. The record is from RefSeq and is a predicted model, not a curated record. Lineage: Eukaryota; Viridiplantae; Streptophyta; Magnoliopsida; Fabales; Fabaceae. The transcript is spliced from 3 exons.